Long non-coding RNA from Chelonus insularis, 446 nucleotides. RefSeq lists it as uncharacterized. The record is from RefSeq and is a predicted model, not a curated record. The transcript is spliced from 3 exons. Lineage: Eukaryota; Metazoa; Arthropoda; Insecta; Hymenoptera; Braconidae.
UAAAAAACAAAAUAAAUUUUCACACAAAUAAAUUAUAUAUUAAAGAGAAAUAAAAUUAAGAUCAUAUUAAAUUUUUAUUAUUACUCAAUUUAGUUCACACGACAAUUAGUUUUAACACAAAAAAGUAAUUUUUUGGAUCGAUUAAUAAACAUAAUUUGUGACAGUGACAUUGAAUAUUGUAGAAUAAUGAAUGAAACUACACGACAAAAUCAUUCUCGAGCAAUUCAACAUACAAUUGACUUGUACAUUAAUAAUUUACAAGAGUCCUUGAGAAAUGGAAGGAUGACAUUGUCAGAAUAUUUGUAGGCAGUAGUUGAACGCACAAAUAUUCGACGGGAGCUGAGACAACGUGGCUCAUAAUUUGGAAGUGUAGAAAACCAAAGUUAAAGAGAUACCAGCAAAUGUAAACUUUCUUAAAUAUAAAUAAAAGUUAUACUUAUAACUUC